RNAcentral lists this ribosomal RNA (913 nucleotides) under uncultured bacterium. RNAcentral describes it as "bacterial SSU rRNA". It matches the Rfam family "Bacterial small subunit ribosomal RNA", at positions 8 to 916 of the family's 1533-position model. The record is from RNAcentral.
AGAGUUUGAUCAUGGCUCAGAUUGAACGCUGGCGGCAGGCCUAACUCAUGCAAGUCGAGCGGUAGAGAGGUGCUUGCAUCUCUUGAGAGCGGCGGACGGGUGAGUAAUGCCUAGGAAUCUGCCUAGUGGUGGGGGAUAACGUUCGGAAACGGACGCUAAUACCGCAUACGUCCUACGGGAGAAAGCGGGGGAUCUUCGGACCUCGCGCCAUUAGAUGAGCCUAGGUCGGAUUAGCUAGUUGGUGAGGUAAUGGCUCACCAAGGCGACGAUCCGUAACUGGUCUGAGAGGAUGAUCAGUCACACUGGAACUGAGACACGGUCCAGACUCCUACGGGAGGCAGCAGUGGGGAAUAUUGGACAAUGGGCGAAAGCCUGAUCCAGCCAUGCCGCGUGUGUGAAGAAGGUCUUCGGAUUGUAAAGCACUUUAAGUUGGGAGGAAGGGUAGUAACCUAAUACGUUGCUGCUUUGACGUUACCGACAGAAUAAGCACCGGCUAACUUCGUGCCAGCAGCCGCGGUAAUACGAAGGGUGCAAGCGUUAAUCGGAAUUACUGGGCGUAAAGCGCGCGUAGGUGGUUCAGCAAGUUGGAUGUGAAAGCCCUGGGCUCAACCUGGGAACUGCAUCCAAAACUACUGAGCUAGAGUACGGUAGAGGGUAGUGGAAUUUCCUGUGUAGCGGUGAAAUGCGUAGAUAUAGGAAGGAACACCAGUGGCGAAGGCGACUACCUGGACUGAUACUGACACUGAGGUGCGAAAGCGUGGGGAGCAAACAGGAUUAGAUACCCUGGUAGUCCACGCCGUAAACGAUGUCGACUAGCCGUUGGGAUCCUUGAGAUCUUAGUGGCGCAGCUAACGCAUUAAGUCGACCGCCUGGGGAGUACGGCCGCAAGGUUAAAACUCAAAUGAAUUGACGG